RNAcentral lists this ribosomal RNA (377 nucleotides) under uncultured bacterium. RNAcentral describes it as "bacterial SSU rRNA". It matches the Rfam family "Bacterial small subunit ribosomal RNA", at positions 521 to 896 of the family's 1533-position model. The record is from RNAcentral.
UAAUACGUAGGUGGCAAGCGUUGUCCGGAUUUACUGGGCGUAAAGCGCCCGCAGGCGGCCUGUCAAGUUCGAGGUGAAAUCUCCCGGCUUAACUGGGAGGGUGCCUCGAAAACUGGCAGGCUUGAGGUGUGGAGAGGGAUGCAGAAUUCCUGGUGUAGCGGUGAAAUGCGUAGAUAUCAGGAGGAAUACCAGUGGCGAAGGCGGCAUCCUGGCCAUAUCCUGACGCUCAGGGGCGAAAGCGUGGGGAGCAAACCGGAUUAGAUACCCGGGUAGUCCACGCCGUAAACGAUGAGUACUAGGUGUAGGGGGUAUCGACCCCCUCUGUGCCGAAGCUAACGCGAUAAGUACUCCGCCUGGGGACUACGGCCGCAAGGCUA